RNAcentral lists this transfer RNA (74 nucleotides) under Phycisphaerae bacterium. RNAcentral describes it as "tRNA-Arg". It matches the Rfam family "tRNA". Rfam says of the family: Transfer RNA (tRNA) molecules are approximately 80 nucleotides in length. Their secondary structure includes four short double-helical elements and three loops (D, anti-codon, and T loops). Further hydrogen bonds mediate the characteristic L-shaped molecular structure. tRNAs have two regions of fundamental functional importance: the anti-codon, which is responsible for specific mRNA codon recognition, and the 3' end, to which the tRNAs corresponding amino acid is attached (by aminoacyl-tRNA synthetases). tRNAs cope with the degeneracy of the genetic code in two manners: having more than one tRNA (with a specific anti-codon) for a particular amino acid; and 'wobble' base-pairing, i.e. permitting non-standard base-pairing at the 3rd anti-codon position. Lineage: Bacteria; Pseudomonadati; Planctomycetota; Phycisphaerae. The record is from RNAcentral.
GUCCUCGUAGCUCAAUUGGAUAGAGCGCCGCCCUCCGAAGGCGGAGGUUGUGGGUUCGAGACCCCCCGAGGACG